GAUUGCCCCAGUAACGGCGAGUGAAGCGGCAACAGCUCAAAUUUGAAAUCUGGCCCCCAGGGUCCGAGUUGUAAUUUGUAGAGGAUGCUUUUGGCGCGGCGCCUUCCGAGUUCCCUGGAACGGGACGCCAUAGAGGGUGAGAGCCCCGUCUGGUUGGAAGCCAAGCCUAUGUAAAGCUCCUUCGACGAGUCGAGUAGUUUGGGAAUGCUGCUCUAAAUGGGAGGUAUAUGUCUUCUAAAGCUAAAUACCGGCCAGAGACCGAUAGCGCACAAGUAGAGUGAUCGAAAGAUGAAAAGCACUUUGAAAAGAGGGUUAAAUAGUACGUGAAAUUGUUGAAAGGGAAGCACUUAUGACCAGACUUGGGCCCGGUUGAUCAUCCAGCGUUCUCGCUGGUGCACUCUGCCGGCCCAGGCCAGCAUCAGUUCGCCCCGGGGGAUAAAGGUUUCGGGAAUGUGGCUCCUCGGAGUGUUAUAGCCCGUUGCGUAAUACCCUGAGGCGGACUGAGGUUCGCGCUCCGCAAGGAUGCUGGCGUAAUGGUCAUCAGUGACCCGUCUUGAAACACGGACCAAGGAGUCGUCUUCGUAUGCGAGUGUUCGGGUGUCAAACCCCUACGCGUAAUGAAAGUGAACGCAGGUGAGAGCUUCGGCGCAUCAUCGACCGAUCCUGAUGUUCUCGGAUGGAUUUGAGUAAGAGCAUACGGGGCCGGACCCGAAAGAAGGUGAACUAUGCCUGUAUAGGGUGAAGCCAGAGGAAACUCUGGUGGAGGCUCGCAGCGGUUCUGACGUGCAAAUCGAUCC
RNAcentral lists this ribosomal RNA (797 nucleotides) under Myrtacremonium eucalypti. RNAcentral's name for it is "eukaryotic LSU rRNA". It matches the Rfam family "Eukaryotic large subunit ribosomal RNA", at positions 73 to 904 of the family's 3401-position model. Lineage: Eukaryota; Fungi; Ascomycota; Sordariomycetes; Hypocreales; Niessliaceae. The record is from RNAcentral.